Molecule: ribosomal RNA, 301 nt
Filed under: uncultured bacterium
Lineage: Bacteria
Description: partial 16S ribosomal RNA
Rfam family: Bacterial small subunit ribosomal RNA
Source: RNAcentral
CAGCCGCCACGGUAAUACGAAGGGUGCAAGCGUUAAUCGGAAUUACUGGGCGUAAAGCGUGCGUAGGCGGUUUGUUAAGUCUGCUGUGAAAUCCCCGGGCUCAACCUGGGAACUGCAUUUGUGACUGGCAAGCUAGAGUAUGGCAGAGGGGGGUGGAAUUCCGCGUGUAGCAGUGAAAUGCGUAGAUAUGCGGAGGAACACCGAUGGCGAAGGCGGCCAUCUGGGACAACACUGACGCUGAGGCACGAAAGCGUGGGGAGCAAACAGGAUUAGAUACCCGCGUAGUCCCUGUCUCUUAUAC